GCACCUCUGAAAUAAAGGAGGUCCUGGUGCGUCUAGGAGCGCUCACUCCAGUCACCUCCUCAAGGCUUACGUUUUGAGUGUGAGUCAGUCUGGGAUCACCCGGCUCUGUAGUUCUACUUCGUUUUCCAGUUAAGGUGAGCCCAUCGGACAGAAUACUAAAGUGAGCCUUCACCUAAAAGAAGACCUGAGAGAAUGCAGAGCAGAGGAGGGUCAAGGAAGCUAUGAAGAAACACUCACUGUUCAUUAAGUUCUCCCUUCACCCUCUAUACUUUACCUGUAGCAUGGUUGAUUUCAAGGACAACUCUGACAACUUGAGAAUUGCUCCAGCAGAGCACGAUCCUGAACAUCAUCACCAAAAUCAUUGUGAAGAAGAGCCUUGUGCUCCCCUCUGAGUUGGCAGAAGACAAAGAGAAGUAAAAGAAGUUCUCUGAAGUGAUCCCCAAGAAUUUGAGGGUGGUCGAGAACCUGUUGUAGCCCUGCAGGCUGGGCAACUGGUGCCCAAUGUGGAUGAAACCACCACUUGAGGAUUCGGAACGUUGCCUCCCGGAGGAAGACCAAGGCCUUGGUGAAGUUGUUGGAUCCCCCUGAAAUCGCCCAGUUCAGGACGCGAUCCAGAGGAGAGCGGAGACGAUGCAUGUGGCCUCACUCAUUAUGAAAGGACGACAGACCUCUCGCCAAUAUUUUGAAACCGGUUUCUCUGGUCACCCCUGGGCACCUUUGCAGUCAUUCUGAAGAAACAUCGCAUGUGUGGUAAAUACGAGAACAUCAUGGAUCAAGGAUCAAAUAGUACUGUCUAUCAGCACGUGAAUAUCCAAAAGAAGUCUUACAAAAAUAAUGACCUUGGCAAAAUGCUUUAUGAAUCAUCUCAGGUGUAUAGCUUAUAACACCAGCGAUGCUACAGGAAACCAUCAGAGAAUUCAUACAGGAGAGGAACCUUACAAAUAUGGUAAAUGUGAAAAAUCCUUUGGAUGUAGCUCAAAUCUUGGAACACAUCAGAAAUCUCAUAAAGGACAGAAACCUCACAAAUGUAGUGAAUUUGAGAAGUCAUUUAGACAUAAUUCAACUCUUAAAAAUCAUCAGAGGAUUCAUGCAGGAGGGAAACCUUACAAAUGCAGUGAUUGUGAGAAGUCAUUUACAUAUAGUUCAAACCUUAAAUAUCAUUAGAGAUUUCAUACAGGAGAUAAAGUUUAUAAACGUAGUGAAUAUGAGAAGUCAUUUACAUAUAGAUAAAGUUUUACAUAUCAUCAGAGAAUUCAUACAGGAGAGAAACCUUACAAAUGUAGUAAAUGUGAAAAGUCAUUUGCAAAUAGUUCAACCCUUACAAAUCAUCAGAGGUUUCAUACAGGAGAAAAACCUUACAAAUAUAGGCAAUGUGAGAAAUCCUUUACAUAUACUUAAUAUCUUAAAAGACAUCAGAUAGUUCAUACAGAAGAGAUACCUUACAAAUGUAAUGAAUGUAUAAAAUCCUUUGCAUGUAUUACAAAUCUUGAGUCACAUAAGAAAAUUCAUACAGGGACGAAACCUUAAAUGUAGAAUAUGUAAUAAAUUCUUUAAAUAUAGAUCAGGACUUAGAAAACAUGAGAGAAUUCAUACAGGAGAAAGAUCUUACAAAUGUUGGGAAUGUGAGAACUCCUUUUCAAGUUCUUCAAAACUUAGAAUACAUAAGCAACUUCAUAUAGGAGAGAAACCUUACAAUGUAGUGUAUGUGUGAAAUCAUUCAUAUGCUCCAACAUAUAAACAAGCCUACACGUGUGUAGUGGGCUCAGGGUGUCCAUUGUUCAUAAGUUGUAUCCCAAGGUUGAUUUGAAUUUCAUGGUAGCAACUAUCUGAGCCCUUUUUAUGACUGUAAGCAACUCUUUUCACAUAUACCUGUAAGUAACCUGAAUAAAACUCAUUCAUUCAGCAA
Molecule: non-coding RNA, 1906 nt
Organism: Peromyscus maniculatus bairdii (prairie deer mouse)
Lineage: Eukaryota; Metazoa; Chordata; Mammalia; Rodentia; Cricetidae
Source: RefSeq, a predicted model, not a curated record